GCCCGGGUGGUGGAAUUGGUAGACACACCAUCUUGAGGUGGUGGCGCCGAAAGGCGUGCGGGUUCGAGUCCCGCCUCGGGCA
This 82-nucleotide transfer RNA is filed under the name Myxococcota bacterium. RNAcentral's name for it is "tRNA-Leu". It matches the Rfam family "tRNA". Rfam says of the family: Transfer RNA (tRNA) molecules are approximately 80 nucleotides in length. Their secondary structure includes four short double-helical elements and three loops (D, anti-codon, and T loops). Further hydrogen bonds mediate the characteristic L-shaped molecular structure. tRNAs have two regions of fundamental functional importance: the anti-codon, which is responsible for specific mRNA codon recognition, and the 3' end, to which the tRNAs corresponding amino acid is attached (by aminoacyl-tRNA synthetases). tRNAs cope with the degeneracy of the genetic code in two manners: having more than one tRNA (with a specific anti-codon) for a particular amino acid; and 'wobble' base-pairing, i.e. permitting non-standard base-pairing at the 3rd anti-codon position. Lineage: Bacteria; Pseudomonadati; Myxococcota. The record is from RNAcentral.